UUUUUUUAAGUUGUUUGUUUCUCUUAGUUUGUAAAGCUCUUGGUUUGCCGGAAGUUCGCCGGAAGUAAAUAAAGUUGCUGAUACAAGGUAAAUUAAUUCUCUUCUUUUAUUUGUAAAUCUUUUUAUAUCUCCGAUCUGGAAGCUGUGACUAUGUCCGGCUAAAAAUUUAUAUCUAUGCCGGAUAACUAACUUCUCUUUUAUAUAGACCAUGAACGGAUCUAAG
This 223-nucleotide long non-coding RNA is filed under the name Solanum tuberosum (potato). Its description in RNAcentral is "long non-coding RNA (STUB_LNC008158)". The record is from RNAcentral. Lineage: Eukaryota; Viridiplantae; Streptophyta; Magnoliopsida; Solanales; Solanaceae.